This 480-nucleotide long non-coding RNA is filed under the name Pan troglodytes (chimpanzee). RNAcentral describes it as "lincRNA". Lineage: Eukaryota; Metazoa; Chordata; Mammalia; Primates; Hominidae. The record is from RNAcentral.
AGUUUCAUUAUCUUCCUGCUGAUGGCAGAAGUGCAAAAGAGUGAGGAGAAGCCCCCAGUGCUCUUAAAGCUCAGCCUAGGACUGUCACCUCUGCUUAGCUUACUAUCAGUGGGGUGAGGAAAUAUACAUCACCUUUUGUGGAAGGAACGUCAAAGUCAUACAGCUAAAGAUGUGGAGACAGGGAAAGCUUGUCAGGCUCUAGAGAGACUGACCUCUGCAGAUGGUUUAAAGGGAGAAGCUCAAGGGUACACAGUUCACAGGGCUGCCAAUCAGGCCUGUGCAGAAAACUCAACAGUCUAAAAGAAUAUAUGAAGACAGAACCUCAACCUAGAAGAAAUGGACAAAUUCCCAGACACAUCAAGGAAUUCCUAGACAAACUAUCAAAACUGAAUCAUGAUUAGAUAGAAAAUCUGAACAGAUCAAUAUAAGUAAAGAGAUUAAAGCAGUAAUAAACUCUCCCAUCAAAGAAAAGCUCAGGAU